This 301-nucleotide ribosomal RNA is filed under the name uncultured bacterium. Its description in RNAcentral is "partial 16S ribosomal RNA". It matches the Rfam family "Archaeal small subunit ribosomal RNA", at positions 459 to 759 of the family's 1478-position model. The record is from RNAcentral.
CAGUAGCCGCGGUAACACCAGCAGCCCAAGUGGUGGUCGCGUUUAUUGGGCCUAAAGCGCUCGUAGCUUGACCGGUAAGUUCCCCGUGAAAUCGGGUCGCCCAACGAUUCGGCUUGCGGGGAAUACUGUCGGUCUUGGGGCCGGGAGACGCCGAGGGUACUCCGGGGGUAGCGGUGAAAUGCUGUAAUCCUCGGGGGACUACCAGUGGCGAAGGCGCUCGGCGAUAACGGGCCUGACGGUGAGGGGCGAAAGCUGGGGGCGCGAACGGGAUUAGAUACCCGAGUAGUCCCUGUCUCUUAUA